RNAcentral lists this transfer RNA (46 nucleotides) under Loranthus delavayi. Its description in RNAcentral is "partial tRNA-Leu". Lineage: Eukaryota; Viridiplantae; Streptophyta; Magnoliopsida; Santalales; Loranthaceae. The record is from RNAcentral.
AAAAUCCGUCGACUUUUUAAAUCAUGAGGGUUCAAGUCCCAUCUAU